AGUUGGUGGAGUGAUUUGUCUGCUUAAUUGCGAUAACGAACGAGACCUUAACCUACUAAAUAGCUGAACGAAGCGCCAGCUUCGGCGAAGCUUCUUAGAGGGACAAUGCGAGCCAAUCGUAUGGAAGACUGAGGCAAUAACAGG
This 144-nucleotide ribosomal RNA is filed under the name uncultured eukaryote. RNAcentral's name for it is "partial small subunit ribosomal RNA". It matches the Rfam family "Eukaryotic small subunit ribosomal RNA", at positions 1296 to 1460 of the family's 1831-position model. The record is from RNAcentral.